UACGUAGGGGGCGAGCGUUGUCCGGAAUCAUUGGGCGUAAAGCGCGUGUAGGCGGCUUGGUAAGUCCGCUCUGAAAGCCCGGGGCUCAACCCCGGGAGGCGGGUGGAUACUGUCAAGCUCGAGUCCGGAAGAGGCGAGUGGAAUUCCUGGUGUAGCGGUGAAAUGCGCAGAUAUCAGGAGGAACACCAAUGGCGAAGGCAGCUCGCUGGGACGUGACUGACACUGAGGGACGAAAGCUAGGGGAGCGAAAGGG
This 253-nucleotide ribosomal RNA is filed under the name uncultured bacterium. RNAcentral describes it as "partial 16S ribosomal RNA". It matches the Rfam family "Bacterial small subunit ribosomal RNA", at positions 524 to 776 of the family's 1533-position model. The record is from RNAcentral.